RNAcentral lists this transfer RNA (77 nucleotides) under Agrobacterium rubi. RNAcentral's name for it is "tRNA-Pro". It matches the Rfam family "tRNA". Rfam says of the family: Transfer RNA (tRNA) molecules are approximately 80 nucleotides in length. Their secondary structure includes four short double-helical elements and three loops (D, anti-codon, and T loops). Further hydrogen bonds mediate the characteristic L-shaped molecular structure. tRNAs have two regions of fundamental functional importance: the anti-codon, which is responsible for specific mRNA codon recognition, and the 3' end, to which the tRNAs corresponding amino acid is attached (by aminoacyl-tRNA synthetases). tRNAs cope with the degeneracy of the genetic code in two manners: having more than one tRNA (with a specific anti-codon) for a particular amino acid; and 'wobble' base-pairing, i.e. permitting non-standard base-pairing at the 3rd anti-codon position. The record is from RNAcentral. Lineage: Bacteria; Pseudomonadati; Pseudomonadota; Alphaproteobacteria; Hyphomicrobiales; Rhizobiaceae.
UGGAGUGUAGCGCAGCCUGGUAGCGCGCGGCGUUCGGGACGCCGAGGUCGUCAGUUCGAUCCUGACCACUCCGACCA